Molecule: long non-coding RNA, 428 nt
Organism: Mercurialis annua (annual mercury)
Lineage: Eukaryota; Viridiplantae; Streptophyta; Magnoliopsida; Malpighiales; Euphorbiaceae
Exons: 3
Source: RefSeq, a predicted model, not a curated record
GGAGCAGAGGCAAAUACUUUCAUCUCAGUUUUUGAAGAAAUAUUCGGCCAAGGAGGGUUUCUUCAUUUCAAUAUUGUUUUGAUGGUUUUCUUCACCAAUUAUUCAAAAAUUCAAUCCUCUAUUAUCCUAAGACUUCAAUUCAAGAUUGUACGCGUAUUUGGAUUGGAGAAGUACAGAAUUUGGAGGGUUAAGCAGCGGGCUAUUUUAUUUUGCUUUAUGAAAUUUGGAUUAAGCGAUCGAGUGUUUUCUUUCAGGAUUAUUAUAUGACGAUAUGGUCGAGCUUCCAUUCGUUGUUCCGGAAGUCUCAGUUAUGGGAGGUCAUAUUCUUCUUAGAGCUGCAGUAGUCAUGAUAGUAGACCUAGCCAGUAGCAAACGAUUUAUGUUUAUUUUAUACUGUGACAUAAUGAUGUAUUUUGGGAAAGUGAAUU